This 427-nucleotide ribosomal RNA is filed under the name uncultured bacterium. RNAcentral describes it as "bacterial SSU rRNA". It matches the Rfam family "Bacterial small subunit ribosomal RNA", at positions 330 to 774 of the family's 1533-position model. The record is from RNAcentral.
GCCAGACUCCUACGGGAGGCAGCAGUGGGGGAUAUUGCACAAUGGGGGGAACCCUGAUGCAGCGACGCCGCGUGGGUGAGGAAGCGCCUCGGCGCGUAAAGCCCUGUCAGCAGGGAAGAAAAUGACGGUACCUGAAGAAGAAGCUCCGGCUAACUACGUGCCAGCAGCCGCGGUAAUACGUAGGGAGCGAGCGUUGUCCGGAUUUACUGGGUGUAAAGGGUGCGUAGGCGGCCCUGCAAGUCAGAAGUGAAAUCCAUGGGCUUAACCCGUGAACUGCUUUUGAAACUGCAGGACUUGAGUGGAGUAGAGGUAGGCGGAAUUCCGGGUGUAGCGGUGAAAUGCGUAGAGAUCGGGAGGAACACCAGUGGCGAAGGCGGCCUACUGGGCUUUAACUGACGCUGAAGCACGAAAGCGUGGGUAGCAAACA